Long non-coding RNA from Crotalus tigris (Tiger rattlesnake), 1001 nucleotides. RefSeq lists it as uncharacterized. Lineage: Eukaryota; Metazoa; Chordata; Lepidosauria; Squamata; Viperidae. The transcript is spliced from 5 exons. The record is from RefSeq and is a predicted model, not a curated record.
AGACUAAACUAAAGAAGAAUAGGACAAGAAAAUCCCACUGAAGAUGUUUGCCUAGUCUGUUUGCUGUGCAUGGAGUCUCUGGAAAACCUUGCAAGAAUUCCAAAGGCAUAACCAGGAGGCCAUUUGAAGAAGAAAGGAGGCAGACUCUGAGGUCAACGGAAAGCUCACAUGAAGUAUUGGUACUGCUUUAUGAACAGGAUUUCAGACAGCUAUCAAGUGUGGAAGAAAUUUCAAUCAUGUUGCUGAUGCAAAUUAGAUGUGACUGAAGUAACCUACUGUCCUGCCAACCUGGGCUCAUCAAACACCCAUUCCAAGAGUCCGUGCUGUCUCAGCAAUCAUGAAGCCAGAGUGGCCCAGGGGAAAAUCUUCAUAUGGAAGGUUGAGUCUGGAUGCUGCAUUAGCCAGCAUCAAUGGUGGAGCUGUGUACCGAGGAGCAGGGGACAUGGAGGCUUCUACCCCAUGGAAAUGAGGCUUUCUUCCCUUGGACUGAAAGAAGAUGUCCAGUGUAGGAAGUGAGAAAACAAAUGUGUAGUAGAGAGGAGUCAUUAAAUAUCUCUUUGUUCCAUGAUUAAUUUGUAGAACAGAAGUUGGGCAAUCAGGGAUUGUGGGAGUUGUAAGCAAGACAGCUGGAGGGCACCUGUUAUAGUGGAGGAGGUGCAAAGCUUCAAGCUGACUCAGAAUCACAUCCUUCAACAUUCUUCCCCCAGAAGCUUGAAUGCUGGCAAAGUGACUUUCAUACCCUGGCAAGUUCUGAUGUGAAAAGAAGUAUGUACAGGUAGAUGGUUUUUCAGAUGACAGAAACCUGCCAGCAAUAGUAGAUUCAACUGCUUCUUCUAUUCCUACCAUAGACGCAAUGAAAAGAAGACAGUAGAAUUGUUAAGAACAAAAUCCAUGUAGCUUAAAUAUCAGCUGAAAUGUCAGAAGUGGGAAAAGGAGUUGGUGUCCUUUUCAUAAAUGUGUGAUAACUUUGUUCUUUGGCUUAAGUUUUGAUUUAGGAAAAA